GGGCGGGGCGGGGGCGGGGCGCGGCGGGCCCACGUCCCUGCCGGCGGCCGCGGCGCUGCUCACAGGGUGACACGUCUGCGGGGUGAGUGAGUGGCGUUGGCAGCCUGUCAAUCCCUCACGGAGCGGCCAUCAAACACCAUAAAACACACACCGGCACCGCGCCGCCGGCCCCAUAAAUCCCGGCCGGCCGGUAUUUUUGCACAUUGCUUUGCAGAGAAUUUUUGGACAAGUGGGGAAAGACAUAAAAAGCAACAAUAAAAAUAAAAAAGGGGAAAAAACAAAAAAAAAAAAAAAAAAGCUUUGGAGCAAGAUUGUACCAAGGAAAGAAAACUGCAAAGAAACCU
Molecule: long non-coding RNA, 344 nt
Filed under: Anas zonorhyncha (Eastern spot-billed duck)
Lineage: Eukaryota; Metazoa; Chordata; Aves; Anseriformes; Anatidae
Description: lncRNA (ENSAZOG00000016670.1)
Source: RNAcentral